This 1973-nucleotide long non-coding RNA is filed under the name Homo sapiens (human). RNAcentral describes it as "HSALNT0293442". Lineage: Eukaryota; Metazoa; Chordata; Mammalia; Primates; Hominidae. The record is from RNAcentral.
GGCCCCCGCCGCCUCUGUACCAGGGAGAGCGCCUGGAAGGCGCCGCUGCCUCUCUCUCCCUACGUGCCCACCUGCCUCUAGGAACUGCUAAGACCGCUAAUACAAUGCUGGAUAGAAGUGGUGAUCACAGACAGUCUUGUUACUCAUUUGAAAGGGAAAGCCUUCAGUGUCUCAACACUAGAAGAAUUUCCACUACUGUGAACUUCCUGGCCUCUUACCAGAACCAAAUUAUCUGAUUUGAGGAUUUAAAAGAAGGAAACAGGCAUGCUUGGCUCAGCCUCUGUCUUUCUGGCUCUGCCUUUCUGCAGUGAGGAUGCAUCUUUUCUUGCUCACCUGCCAAUGCUAAAAGAAGACUUUAUGGGCUAGUGACAUGGAAGGUUUGUGUUGAUUCUGAUCUGCCUUUGACUGGAUGGAUAAGUUGAAUUCCAUAAUUCAGUAUUAGAAAACUCACUUGGCUCACAGCUACACCAUGUCCCCUAAUGUAACUUUUAUCAGCAAUAGCACUAUAGAGUAACAAAGUAACAGAUGAUGACCAUAUGUCUGACUCUAGUAUUUCUCUAUCAAAUGGUUCUGAGCUUGGGCAGGAAUGAAAAUGUAUUUACUGACAUCUCAAAAUGAUUAUAAUCACAAUACUGGGCCAUCCUGACCAUUUAUCAGAAGUCCAGAAGUCAAGAUUCCGUGGUCGGAAAUCUCUUUUGACCACCAGCAGAAGAAAAUAAAAAAGUCUGAAGCAACUGUAAAACAUACCUUUUUCCUCCAACGUAACCAAGAAGACUCGUCCUACUUUGUGUACCCACAAAAGCUACAAGAUCCAUCAACAGAAAUUAGUUUAUGAAAUCUAGAAUUGUGGGAAUGACAUUAAAGAGUCUCAGUGAAUUACUUCUUAGAUUGAAAUUUAAGAUUUUCCUGACCAUGCUCCCAGAGUAUCACCCCUUAACAAGAAGGCUCUUCAUUUAUAUGGUAUGAUGUCCAAAAAAUGGCUAUCAUUCUUUUAAAUCAUAUAAAAGUAUUAAUGAAAGUAUUAAAAGUUUUAUUUCAAUAAUUUGCUUCAGUGAAACCAUUAAAACUGUAGAAUAUAACUUUGAUAUUUAAAUAUUUUAAAUAUUAAUGGUUACCUUUACCACUGCUAUUAUUGUGAUCAACCAGCUUCUAUUUGUAGAAGAGUUAAAAGAGGUUAAAUGUCUUGCAAUGCAAUGACAUAAAUGUCAUGCAACACUACAAUGACAGAAUCUAAGACAAACAAAAAUUUAAAAUAUUUCUCUUAAUACUUUCUAUUAAAAAUAUUCUGAGCCAUUCUGCUGUUACAGGACACAUUUGUAAUAAAGUUCAUUUUAUUAUACUCCCCAAGUUUUUUAAACAAACAGAUCAAUUUCUAGGUGUUUUUAACAAAAGAAAAUCCGAGCUAUCGUGGUUCCAUUUUCCUCAUUGUUUAUUCAACUAUUCACUGACUUUUUGAGUAUCACUUAGUGUUUCAAAGUCAUGGCUUAAUUUCUUCUAUCCUGAAUAGUACUACAACUUACAAAUAUUAAAACUUAGAUUCAAUGCCAUCCGCAUCAAGCUACCAAUGACUUUCCUCACAGAAUUGGAAAAAACUACUUUAAAGUUCAUAUGGAACCAAAAAGAGCCCGCAUCGCCAAGUCAAUCCUAAGCCAAAAGAACAAAGCUGGAGGCAUCACGCUACCUGACUUCAAACUAUACUACAAGGCUACAGUAACCAAAACAGCAUGGUACUGGUACCAAAACAGAGAUAUAGAUCAAUGGAACAGAACAGAGCCCUCAGAAAUAAUGCCGCAUAUCUACAACUAUCCGAUCUUUGAGAAACCUGAGAAAAAUAAGCAAUGGGGAAAGGAUUCCCUAUUUAAUAAAUGGUGCUGGGAAAACUGGCUAGCCAUAUGUAGAAAGCUGAAACUGGAUCCCUUCCUUACACCUUAUACAAAAAUUAAUUCAAGAUGGAUUAAAGACUUAAAUGUUAG